ACGACCAUACCACAUUGAAAACACCGGUUCUCGUCCGAUUACCGAAGUCAAGCAAUGUCGGCCUCGGUCAGUACUUGGGAGGGUGACCACCUGGGAACACCCGGUGCUGUAGGCU
Molecule: ribosomal RNA, 115 nt
Filed under: Cordylochernes scorpioides
Lineage: Eukaryota; Metazoa; Arthropoda; Arachnida; Pseudoscorpiones; Chernetidae
Source: RNAcentral